RNAcentral lists this ribosomal RNA (320 nucleotides) under uncultured bacterium. RNAcentral's name for it is "bacterial SSU rRNA". It matches the Rfam family "Bacterial small subunit ribosomal RNA", at positions 29 to 371 of the family's 1533-position model. The record is from RNAcentral.
AACGAACGCUGGCGGCAUGCCUAACACAUGCAAGUCGAACGGGAUCCUAGCUUGCUAGGUGAGAGUGGCGGACGGGUGAGUAACACGUGGGAAUCUGCCUUUUGGUUCGGGAUAACCGCGGGAAACUGCGGCUAAUACCGAAUGCCCUCGAGAGAGGAAAGAUUUAUCGCCAGAAGAGGAGCCCGCGUCCGAUUAGGUAGUUGGUGGGGUAAAGCCUACCAAGCCGAGAUCGGUAGCUGGUCUGAGAGGAUGAUCAGCCACACUGGGACUGAGAUACGGCCCAGACUCCUACGGGAGGCAGCAGUGGGAAUAUUGGACAA